AAGUAUAUAUCAAUACAAUACAUCAAACAGCUCACAAGCUUCCGCAAACCAACAACAUAGGCCAGCAUGGCCAUAACGUAGCUAUAAACCCCACACACUAGUCUGCAAGCCUCUAAGAGUAGUAAAGAUUGGUGGGACAGGGCCCCAGCCUACCCAUAAAGAUAUAUACAACAAAAGUUAACAAACCUCCCAACUCUGGCAGCUCCGGAGGAAAGGGGCUAGCCAACUAGAUAAAAGUCAAUCCUGCUGCUGAGGAGGUCUACUCAGUCGUCUGUCAGGACCUGCAUGCGUGAAUGCAGCGCCCCCAGGCAAUGGGGCGUCAGUACAAAAUAAUGUACAGAGUAUGAAAGGCAAUAGACUAUGAUGAGGUAUCCUGAUAUACUGGAAUAAUCUGAUAAAUAAAUCAAGGAUAAGAUAACUGUACUGACCUGCUCCUAAAUCUAAACGUAUCAAAAAUAAUAAAACAACAACCUAACAGAGCCCCCAUAAGCUCUGCAGGUACAAACAGCACACAAGACCACCUACUCAGGCCCCCAUAAGCCCGGAAGGUGCCAAUCAGUCUAUAUACCCCUAUCGAUAGUCCCUUAGCCCUGUAGGCAAUCACAUAGCCCUCUUAGGCAUUAAUAUAGCCCCAUAACAGCACAUAGUUCUCUUAGGUAUCAACAUAGCUUAUAGACAACUCAUAGCCCUCUUAGGCAACAACAUAGCCAUGUAGGAAGCCCAUAGCCUUCUUAGGCGUCAAUAUAGCCCUAUAGGUAACUCAUAGCCCUUCUAGGCAUCAAUAUAGCCCCGUAGGCAACAUAUAGCCCUUUUAGUUAUCCAUUUAGCCCCGUAGGUUGAACAUAGCCCUUCUAGGCAUAAAUCACAUUCCUGCAGCUAACCAGAAUAGCCCUAAUGGCAAUAAUAACAAUCAAAUCGUUAAAAGCGAGCAAUCUAAGCAACCUGUACAAAUAGCCUCUAAGUCGUUUCCAACAUAGGGACGCUACAAACUGAAUAAGAAUCCCGACAAGGGAGGAUUAUAUCAACCUGAGCAACCAAUAAUCAACAAUAACGGCUACAAGUAUAUCAAGUAUAUUAAGGAACAUGUCGUAAGUAGGGAAUAGCCUUAACAUACCUUUUUCGCUAAAUUCAUGUGGCUUAAAGACUUUAACUCAUAACUCCCUCGAUACUACAAUAAGGUAGGACCAUAAUCAACACAUAAAAUAAAAGAUACCAUGACAAUACAAUAAAAGAUAUGUAUUUCCGUCGCAAAUUGCUAUUUGCUGCUUAUAAAAGCUUGAGUUGAUGAAAGAAGGGUCUUACCUCGAUCUUAGGUUCGUAAUUCACCUCAAAACCUUCAAAUAUAUUCAAACCCCUGCUGUCCCAACUCUAAAAUGUGAUAUGCUACGCAAUCGAUAAAAUAAAUUAUACCACGAUGAUGAGCCCAACGCGUAGAACAACUUUCGUCAAGGACUUACGUCGAGAAAAUCUAUAUUUCACUUGAUCCUAAAAAUGGGUUUCUAUGUUUU
This 1508-nucleotide long non-coding RNA is filed under the name Solanum tuberosum (potato). RNAcentral describes it as "long non-coding RNA (STUB_LNC011597)". Lineage: Eukaryota; Viridiplantae; Streptophyta; Magnoliopsida; Solanales; Solanaceae. The record is from RNAcentral.